UACGUAGGUGGCAAGCGUUAUCCGGAAUUAUUGGGCGUAAAGAGCGCGCAGGUGGUUGAUUAAGUCUGAUGUGAAAGCCCACGGCUUAACCGUGGAGGGUCAUUGGAAACUGGUCGACUUGAGUGCAGAAGAGGGAAGUGGAAUUCCAUGUGUAGCGGUGAAAUGCGUAGAUAUUAGGAGGAACACCAGUGGCGAAGGCGACUUUCUGGACUGUAACUGACGCUGAGGCACGAAAGCAUGGGUAGCAAACAGGAUUAGA
This 259-nucleotide ribosomal RNA is filed under the name uncultured prokaryote. RNAcentral's name for it is "partial 16S ribosomal RNA". It matches the Rfam family "Bacterial small subunit ribosomal RNA", at positions 524 to 782 of the family's 1533-position model. The record is from RNAcentral.